AACUUAUCAAGAGAGGUGGAGGGAAUGGCCCUGUGAAACCCGGCAACCGGUACAAUUUGUACUAAGGUGCUAAUUCCUGCAGUUGAAUCUGCGAGAUAAGGA
Molecule: non-coding RNA, 102 nt
Filed under: Clostridium colicanis DSM 13634
Lineage: Bacteria; Bacillati; Bacillota; Clostridia; Eubacteriales; Clostridiaceae
Description: SAM riboswitch aptamer (S box leader)
Rfam family: SAM riboswitch aptamer (S box leader)
About the family: The SAM riboswitch is found upstream of a number of genes which code for proteins involved in methionine or cysteine biosynthesis in Gram-positive bacteria.
Source: Rfam by way of RNAcentral